UUCGCCUUGUUUUCAAAAAACAUGUCUUAAUGUUAGUUAUAUUAAGUCUAGCCUGCUCAAUGAUUUAUUUAAAUAGCCGCAGUAUUUUGACUGUGCGAAGGUAGCAUAAUCAUUUGUCUUUUAAUUGAAGGCUUGUAUGAAUGGCUGGAUGAGGGAGUAACUUUCUUUACAUUAAUUGGUUGAAUUUAAUUUUUAAGUUAAAAAGCUUAAAUUUUUAAGUGGGACGAGAAGACCCUAUAGAAUUUUAUUUUUAUGUUAUUCUUAAUUAUUUUAGUGAUUAGAUAAUAAGUUUAAUUAUAAAUUUUGUUGGGGUGACAGUGAGAUUUGUUUAACUCUCAUAUAUUAUAUUUUAUUUAUGAUUAUUUUAAAGAUCCUAUUUUACGGAUAAUUAGAUCAAAUUACCUUAGGGAUAACAGCGUUAUUCUUCUUGAGAGUUCAUAUCGAUGGAGGGGUUUGCGACCUCGAUGUUGGAUUAAAAUUAGACUUAAGUGCAGAAGCUUAAUUUCUAGGUCUGUUCGACCUUUAAAAUUUUACAUGUCGGUUUUUUAAA
Molecule: ribosomal RNA, 550 nt
Filed under: Carpocoris mediterraneus
Lineage: Eukaryota; Metazoa; Arthropoda; Insecta; Hemiptera; Pentatomidae
Description: partial large subunit ribosomal RNA
Rfam family: Bacterial large subunit ribosomal RNA
Source: RNAcentral